AUCCCUGUAGCGCAAUAGAUAGCGCGUUGGACUUCUAAUCCAAAGAUCGUGGGUUCGAAUUCUACCUGGGAUG
Trichonephila inaurata madagascariensis is the source of this 73-nucleotide non-coding RNA. Lineage: Eukaryota; Metazoa; Arthropoda; Arachnida; Araneae; Nephilidae. The record is from the annotation of a GenBank genome assembly.